This 219-nucleotide ribosomal RNA is filed under the name uncultured bacterium. RNAcentral describes it as "partial 16S ribosomal RNA". It matches the Rfam family "Bacterial small subunit ribosomal RNA", at positions 30 to 243 of the family's 1533-position model. The record is from RNAcentral.
AUUGAACGCUGGCGGCAUGCCUAACACAUGCAAGUCGAACGCGAAAGGGCUUCGGCCCUGAGUAGAGUGGCGUCCGGGUGAGUAACGCGUGGGUAAUCUACCUUCGGGUCGGGGAAGUAACCAGUCGAAAGGCUGGCUAAUACCGCAUAAUGCAGCGGCACGACAUCGUGACAGUUGUUAAAGGAGCAAUCCGCCUGAAGAGGAGCCUGCGUCUGAUUA